This 1343-nucleotide ribosomal RNA is filed under the name uncultured bacterium. RNAcentral describes it as "16S ribosomal RNA". It matches the Rfam family "Bacterial small subunit ribosomal RNA", at positions 28 to 1378 of the family's 1533-position model. The record is from RNAcentral.
GACGAACGCUGGCGGCGUGCUUAACACAUGCAAGUCGAACGGAAAGGCCCUGCUUUUGUGGGGUGCUCGAGUGGCGAACGGGUGAGUAACACGUGAGUAACCUGCCCUUGACUUUGGGAUAACUUCAGGAAACUGGGGCUAAUACCGGAUAGGAGCUCCUGCUGCAUGGUGGGGGUUGGAAAGCUUCGGCGGUUGGGGAUGGACUCGCGGCUUAUCAGCUUGUUGGUGGGGUAGUGGCUUACCAAGGCUUUGACGGGUAGCCGGCCUGAGAGGGUGACCGGCCACAUUGGGACUGAGAUACGGCCCAGACUCCUACGGGAGGCAGCAGUGGGGAAUAUUGCACAAUGGGCGGAAACCUGAUGCAGCAACGCCGCGUGCGGGAUGACGGCCUUCGGGUUGUAAACCGCUUUCGCCUGUGACGAAGCGUGAGUGACGGUAAUGGGUAAAGAAGCACCGGCUAACUACGUGCCAGCAGCCGCGGUGAUACGUAGGGUGCGAGCGUUGUCCGGAUUUAUUGGGCGUAAAGGGCUCGUAGGUGGUUGAUCGCGUCGGAAGUGUAAUCUUGGGGCUUAACCCUGAGCGUGCUUUCGAUACGGGUUGACUUGAGGAAGGUAGGGGAGAAUGGAAUUCCUGGUGGAGCGGUGGAAUGCGCAGAUAUCAGGAGGAACACCAGUGGCGAAGGCGGUUCUCUGGGCCUUUCCUGACGCUGAGGAGCGAAAGCGUGGGGAGCGAACAGGCUUAGAUACCCUGGUAGUCCACGCUGUAAACGGUGGGUACUAGGUGUGGGGUCCAUUCCACGGGUUCCGUGCCGUAGCUAACGCUUUAAGUACCCCGCCUGGGGAGUACGGCCGCAAGGCUAAAACUCAAAGGAAUUGACGGGGCCCCGCACAAGCGGCGGAGCAUGCGGAUUAAUUCGAUGCAACGCGUAGAACCUUACCUGGGUUUGACAUGGAUCGGGAGUGCUCAGAGAUGGGUGUGCCUCUUUUGGGGUCGGUUCACAGGUGGUGCAUGGCUGUCGUCAGCUCGUGUCGUGAGAUGUUGGGUUAAGUCCCGCAACGAGCGCAACCCUUGUUCACUGUUGCCAGCACGUUAUGGUGGGGACUCAGUGGAGACCGCCGGGGUCAACUCGGAGGAAGGUGGGGAUGACGUCAAGUCAUCAUGCCCCUUAUGUCCAGGGCUUCACGCAUGCUACAAUGGCUGGUACAGAGAGUGGCGAGCCUGUGAGGGUGAGCGAAUCUCGGAAAGCCGGUCUCAGUUCGGAUUGGGGUCUGCAACUCGACCUCAUGAAGUCGGAGUCGCUAGUAAUCGCAGAUCAGCAACGCUGCGGUGAAUACGUUCCCGGG